AAACUACAGAGCAGGAAGUAAAGAUCCUGGUAUCUCCUUCUCUUCCUCUUUCUGCUGCACCAGAGGAAGAAGGGGGACCAAUCCCCAAUGAAAUCUUCAUCAAAGAUGUUCCUGCUACCUUUUCUCCAUGGGCAGUCAUUGCAGUGAUUCUGGGGAUCUUUAGCUUAUUGUUGAUGAUAACAUCUGGAUUCUUUGGUUACCAAUAUUUUCAAAAUAUCCAGCAAUCAGCUAGUAAGAUGGAUGACCUCACCAAAGAACUGGAGUCUUUGCUCAACACACUAGAAAACUUCACUGGAACAAUGAAGAAAAUACAAGAGGGUAACUUGGGGAUUGGAAUUUGAUCUCUCGUCAGAGCUUUAGAGUUCCCUCAGUAAUUCUCUGC
This 382-nucleotide long non-coding RNA is filed under the name Phascolarctos cinereus (koala). Its description in RNAcentral is "lncRNA (ENSPCIG00000013806.2)". The record is from RNAcentral. Lineage: Eukaryota; Metazoa; Chordata; Mammalia; Diprotodontia; Phascolarctidae.